GGAUUUAGCUCAGUGGUAGAGCGCUUGCCUAGCAAGCACAAGGCCCUGGGUUCGGUCCCCAGCUCCA
Non-coding RNA from Rattus norvegicus (Norway rat), 67 nucleotides. The record is from Rfam. NCBI's taxonomy places the organism in Eukaryota, Metazoa, Chordata, Mammalia, Rodentia, Muridae.